Herpailurus yagouaroundi (jaguarundi) is the source of this 553-nucleotide long non-coding RNA. RefSeq lists it as uncharacterized. The transcript has 2 exons. NCBI's taxonomy places the organism in Eukaryota, Metazoa, Chordata, Mammalia, Carnivora, Felidae. The record is from RefSeq and is a predicted model, not a curated record.
AGAUGCUGCCUGCCCUCCGACGAGGCCCCUGCUGUACGUCUGGGUGUGCUGUGUGUGCUCAGCAACCUGGUGUAAUCCCGGGAGCUUCCCGGGGCCUCGGGGCGGGGACCCCUGUGUGACCGAACAGACAGUGGCCGCAGCCCCUGCUGUCAGGAUGUAGGCUUUUCAGGCACGUGUUCCGUUUCACCGGGAAAGUUCCAGAAGCUGCUGUCCUCUUCAGCCGUGGCUGGCUGAAAUUCCCAAGGGAACGGGGAUGCUGUGGGGCGUCCCGUGUACGCGCUGCUUCCAGGCCGGACCCCUAGGACUCUGGGCGGAAGGGUCUCUCUUGCCAUGUGACCUCGUCACCUGCGUGACUCAGUCUGUCCGCAUUCUGGCUUGUUGAAGGACGUUCCCGUGCGUCAGGUCAGCGGGCUCCUCUCACGAUGGGGCCACGACUGUCCUCGCAAUCUCCAGCGUGUUGGAAAGGCAUCUGUCACGACAUGAGGACACUCAAGGAGCCCCAUGGCGAGGUCCAUGUAGUGAGGAACUCAACCCUUCUUAACAGCAGCCAGGA